Molecule: ribosomal RNA, 875 nt
Filed under: Phlebiopsis brunneocystidiata
Lineage: Eukaryota; Fungi; Basidiomycota; Agaricomycetes; Polyporales; Phanerochaetaceae
Description: LSU rRNA
Rfam family: Eukaryotic large subunit ribosomal RNA
Source: RNAcentral
CCCUAGUAACUGCGAGUGAAGCGGGAAAAGCUCAAAUUUAAAAUCUGGUAGCCUUCGGUUGCCCGAGUUGUAGUCUGGAGAAGCGUUUUCCGCGCUGGACCGUGUACAAGUCUCUUGGAACAGAGCGUCAUAGAGGGUGAGAAUCCCGUCUUUGACACGGACUACCAGUGCUUUGUGAUGCGCUCUCAAAGAGUCGAGUUGUUUGGGAAUGCAGCUCAAAAUGGGUGGUAAAUUCCAUCUAAAGCUAAAUAUUGGCGAGAGACCGAUAGCGAACAAGUACCGUGAGGGAAAGAUGAAAAGCACUUUGGAAAGAGAGUUAAACAGUACGUGAAAUUGCUGAAAGGGAAACGCUUGAAGUCAGUCGCGUCUUCUAGUACUCAGCCUUCCUUUUGGUUGGUGCAUUUACUAGUCGACGGGCCAGCAUCAGUUUUGGCUGCGGGAUAAAGGUCAGAGGAAUGUGGCACCCUCGGGUGUGUUAUAGCCUUUGGUCAUAUACCGUGGCUGGGACUGAGGAUCUCAGCAUGCCUUUAUGGCGGGGGUUCGCCCACCUUCAUGCUUAGGAUGCUGGCGUAAUGGCUUUAAACGACCCGUCUUGAAACACGGACCAAGGAGUCUAACAUGCCUGCGAGUGUUUGGGUGGUAAACCCGAGCGCGUAAUGAAAGUGAAAGUUGGGAUCUCUGUCGUGGAGAGCACCGACGCCCGGACCAGACCUUCUGUGACGGCUCCGCGGUAGAGCAUGUAUGUUGGGACCCGAAAGAUGGUGAACUAUGCCUGAAUAGGGUGAAGCCAGAGGAAACUCUGGUGGAGGCUCGUAGCGAUUCUGACGUGCAAAUCGAUCGUCAAAUUUGGGUAUAGGGGCGAAAGACUAAUCGAA